This 59-nucleotide transfer RNA is filed under the name Salmo salar (Atlantic salmon). It matches the Rfam family "tRNA", at positions 8 to 63 of the family's 71-position model. From Rfam's summary of the family: Transfer RNA (tRNA) molecules are approximately 80 nucleotides in length. Their secondary structure includes four short double-helical elements and three loops (D, anti-codon, and T loops). Lineage: Eukaryota; Metazoa; Chordata; Actinopteri; Salmoniformes; Salmonidae. The record is from Rfam by way of RNAcentral.
UGGCUCAGUUGGUAGAGCAUGGCACUUCCAAUGCCAGGGUUGUGGGUUUCGAUUCCAAU